CUAUAAAGGCAGUGGAAAGCUCUCACUGCCUUCAGGAGAACUGGACCAGGUCCCACUCCGGAGGAAGCAUCCACAUGUUUCCAGAAGAGGAAGGCAUUCUGUACCAUACACAAGUGUAUUUUCAUUUAAUUUCAAGGUUGAUGAGAUCUUUUUCUUCACUGGAGGCUUGUUCCACGAAGUAGAUGUCCUGCCAGCACCAUCACUUCCAAUGUGCUGCAUCUCCGAGGAACAUGCAUCUCACAACUCACCUGAUUCUUUGCCCCUGCACUAAAGAAAUAUGAGAUGUAAUGG
Lonchura striata (white-rumped munia) is the source of this 291-nucleotide non-coding RNA. Lineage: Eukaryota; Metazoa; Chordata; Aves; Passeriformes; Estrildidae. The record is from RefSeq and is a predicted model, not a curated record.